This 670-nucleotide long non-coding RNA is filed under the name Felis catus (domestic cat). RNAcentral's name for it is "lncRNA (ENSFCAG00000053678.1)". The record is from RNAcentral. Lineage: Eukaryota; Metazoa; Chordata; Mammalia; Carnivora; Felidae.
AGUUACUCCAAAUAAUUUCCUAUGGCAAAUUAUUAAGUUGGCAUUCUGGUUCAUCUAUCCGCCUUUGUAAGUUGGUUCACGUGGGACUCUAUCUGGAAAUGGCUUCCUCUCCAUGUGCUGACGAAAUGGAGUUUUUUUUUAUAGUGUCAGGCUGAGAGCUGGGCCCCGUCUGUAAUCAAUGUAUCAACAUAAUGAGUGACACCUCUUGGGGGAUUGUCUCAUCGGCCUUUCUGCUGGAGGCGGCCCCGUCGUGCUGCCCAAUUUUAUAGGCUAUGCUGCCAACCUGAAUAGCUUCUUGAACAACCUGCUCAACACUGCAGAAGAAGAAAGACAUCUGCUGGUUUUGCCGGUCAGGAUACAUCGACUCUUACUCUGGUAACAACACUCAGCUCCGGCCGAUCACAGAAGAAAGGAGGACGAAGUGACAAGGGCAAGAUGGAACAGUCUCAGUUGGCCAAAAAAGACCAAAUCCCUCAAUGAGCUCAAGUGAAAAGGAGGUGGGACAGCCCAUUCCUUAAUCUACUUAAAGGACCGCCAUGUUGAUGGGGAGUUGACUUGUUCUUUGUGAUCCCAGAAGAAAUUGCCGGGGCCACUAGAGGUAAGUUUUGCUUUGCUCUAAGGCAAGAAUUCCUUGCAAACACCUACCUCGGUCCAAGCCACCAACUUCUCU